This 1525-nucleotide ribosomal RNA is filed under the name Escherichia coli. Its description in RNAcentral is "partial 23S ribosomal RNA". It matches the Rfam family "Bacterial large subunit ribosomal RNA", at positions 1292 to 2800 of the family's 2925-position model. The record is from RNAcentral. Lineage: Bacteria; Pseudomonadati; Pseudomonadota; Gammaproteobacteria; Enterobacterales; Enterobacteriaceae.
GAAUGCUGACAUAAGUAACGAUAAAGCGGGUGAAAAGCCCGCUCGCCGGAAGACCAAGGGUUCCUGUCCAACGUUAAUCGGGGCAGGGUGAGUCGACCCCUAAGGCGAGGCCGAAAGGCGUAGUCGAUGGGAAACAGGUUAAUAUUCCUGUACUUGGUGUUACUGCGAAGGGGGGACGGAGAAGGCUAUGUUGGCCGGGCGACGGUUGUCCCGGUUUAAGCGUGUAGGCUGGUUUUCCAGGCAAAUCCGGAAAAUCAAGGCUGAGGCGUGAUGACGAGGCACUACGGUGCUGAAGCAACAAAUGCCCUGCUUCCAGGAAAAGCCUCUAAGCAUCAGGUAACAUCAAAUCGUACCCCAAACCGACACAGGUGGUCAGGUAGAGAAUACCAAGGCGCUUGAGAGAACUCGGGUGAAGGAACUAGGCAAAAUGGUGCCGUAACUUCGGGAGAAGGCACGCUGAUAUGUAGGUGAAGUCCCUCGCGGAUGGAGCUGAAAUCAGUCGAAGAUACCAGCUGGCUGCAACUGUUUAUUAAAAACACAGCACUGUGCAAACACGAAAGUGGACGUAUACGGUGUGACGCCUGCCCGGUGCCGGAAGGUUAAUUGAUGGGGUUAGCGGUAACGCGAAGCUCUUGAUCGAAGCCCCGGUAAACGGCGGCCGUAACUAUAACGGUCCUAAGGUAGCGAAAUUCCUUGUCGGGUAAGUUCCGACCUGCACGAAUGGCGUAAUGAUGGCCAGGCUGUCUCCACCCGAGACUCAGUGAAAUUGAACUCGCUGUGAAGAUGCAGUGUACCCGCGGCAAGACGGAAAGACCCCGUGAACCUUUACUAUAGCUUGACACUGAACAUUGAGCCUUGAUGUGUAGGAUAGGUGGGAGGCUUUGAAGUGUGGACGCCAGUCUGCAUGGAGCCGACCUUGAAAUACCACCCUUUAAUGUUUGAUGUUCUAACGUGGACCCGUGAUCCGGGUUGCGGACAGUGUCUGGUGGGUAGUUUGACUGGGGCGGUCUCCUCCUAAAGAGUAACGGAGGAGCACGAAGGUUGGCUAAUCCUGGUCGGACAUCAGGAGGUUAGUGCAAUGGCAUAAGCCAGCUUGACUGCGAGCGUGACGGCGCGAGCAGGUGCGAAAGCAGGUCAUAGUGAUCCGGUGGUUCUGAAUGGAAGGGCCAUCGCUCAACGGAUAAAAGGUACUCCGGGGAUAACAGGCUGAUACCGCCCAAGAGUUCAUAUCGACGGCGGUGUUUGGCACCUCGAUGUCGGCUCAUCACAUCCUGGGGCUGAAGUAGGUCCCAAGGGUAUGGCUGUUCGCCAUUUAAAGUGGUACGCGAGCUGGGUUUAGAACGUCGUGAGACAGUUCGGUCCCUAUCUGCCGUGGGCGCUGGAGAACUGAGGGGGGCUGCUCCUAGUACGAGAGGACCGGAGUGGACGCAUCACUGGUGUUCGGGUUGUCAUGCCAAUGGCACUGCCCGGUAGCUAAAUGCGGAAGAGAUAAGUGCUGAAAGCAUCUAAGCACGAAACUUGCCCC